Molecule: ribosomal RNA, 1058 nt
Filed under: Salmonella enterica subsp. enterica serovar Typhimurium
Lineage: Bacteria; Pseudomonadati; Pseudomonadota; Gammaproteobacteria; Enterobacterales; Enterobacteriaceae
Description: bacterial SSU rRNA
Rfam family: Bacterial small subunit ribosomal RNA
Source: RNAcentral
GCUUGCUGCUUCGCUGACGAGUGGCGGACGGGUGAGUAAUGUCUGGGAAACUGCCUGAUGGAGGGGGAUAACUACUGGAAACGGUGGCUAAUACCGCAUAACGUCGCAAGACCAAAGAGGGGGACCUUCGGGCCUCUUGCCAUCAGAUGUGCCCAGAUGGGAUUAGCUUGUUGGUGAGGUAACGGCUCACCAAGGCGACGAUCCCUAGCUGGUCUGAGAGGAUGACCAGCCACACUGGAACUGAGACACGGUCCAGACUCCUACGGGAGGCAGCAGUGGGGAAUAUUGCACAAUGGGCGCAAGCCUGAUGCAGCCAUGCCGCGUGUAUGAAGAAGGCCUUCGGGUUGUAAAGUACUUUCAGCGGGGAGGAAGGUGUUGUGGUUAAUAACCGCAGCAAUUGACGUUACCCGCAGAAGAAGCACCGGCUAACUCCGUGCCAGCAGCCGCGGUAAUACGGAGGGUGCAAGCGUUAAUCGGAAUUACUGGGCGUAAAGCGCACGCAGGCGGUCUGUCAAGUCGGAUGUGAAAUCCCCGGGCUCAACCUGGGAACUGCAUUCGAAACUGGCAGGCUUGAGUCUUGUAGAGGGGGGUAGAAUUCCAGGUGUAGCGGUGAAAUGCGUAGAGAUCUGGAGGAAUACCGGUGGCGAAGGCGGCCCCCUGGACAAAGACUGACGCUCAGGUGCGAAAGCGUGGGGAGCAAACAGGAUUAGAUACCCUGGUAGUCCACGCCGUAAACGAUGUCUACUUGGAGGUUGUGCCCUUGAGGCGUGGCUUCCGGAGCUAACGCGUUAAGUAGACCGCCUGGGGAGUACGGCCGCAAGGUUAAAACUCAAAUGAAUUGACGGGGGCCCGCACAAGCGGUGGAGCAUGUGGUUUAAUUCGAUGCAACGCGAAGAACCUUACCUGGUCUUGACAUCCACAGAAGAAUCCAGAGAUGGAUUUGUGCCUUCGGGAACUGUGAGACAGGUGCUGCAUGGCUGUCGUCAGCUCGUGUUGUGAAAUGUUGGGUUAAGUCCCGCAACGAGCGCAACCCUUAUCCUUUGUUGCCAGCGAUUAGG